UCCUACGGGGGGCGGCAGUGGGGAAUUUUGGACAAUGGGCGAAAGCCUGAUCCAGCAAUGCCGCGUGUGUGAAGAAGGCCUUCGGGUUGUAAAGCACUUUUGUCCGGAAAGAAAUCCUUAAUCCUAAUAUCGUUGGGGGAUGACGGUACCGGAAGAAUAAGCACCGGCUAACUACGUGCCAGCAGCCGCGGUAAUACGUAGGGUGCAAGCGUUAAUCGGAAUUACUGGGCGUAAAGCGUGCGCAGGCGGUGAUGCAAGACCGAUGUGAAAUCCCCGGGCUUAACCUGGGAACUGCAUUGGUGACUGCAUCGCUAGAGUAUGGCAGAGGGGGGUAGAAUUCCACGUGUAGCAGUGAAAUGCGUAGAGAUGUGGAGGAAUACCGAUGGCGAAGGCAGCCCCCUGGGCCAAUACUGACGCUCAUGCACGAAAGCGUGGGGAGCAAACAGGAUUAGAUACCCUGGUAGUCCACGCCCUAAACGAUGUCAACUGGUUGUCGGGCCUUCAUUGGCUUGGUAACGUAGCUAACGCGUGAAGUGACCGCNUGGGA
RNAcentral lists this ribosomal RNA (547 nucleotides) under Burkholderia sp. JS2311. RNAcentral's name for it is "bacterial SSU rRNA". It matches the Rfam family "Bacterial small subunit ribosomal RNA", at positions 337 to 878 of the family's 1533-position model. Lineage: Bacteria; Pseudomonadati; Pseudomonadota; Betaproteobacteria; Burkholderiales; Burkholderiaceae. The record is from RNAcentral.